Molecule: ribosomal RNA, 342 nt
Filed under: Triticum aestivum (bread wheat)
Lineage: Eukaryota; Viridiplantae; Streptophyta; Magnoliopsida; Poales; Poaceae
Description: partial small subunit ribosomal RNA
Source: RNAcentral
AUGGCUCCUGCUGCGAUCAUCCGAGGUGUCCCGCGCGCGGUGCUCAUCGUGGCGGUGCUGGUGCUGGCCUCGCGGGGCGCGAGCGCGGCACUCUCGUGCUCUACGGUGUACAACACGCUGAUGCCUUGCCUCGGGUACCUGCAGUCAGGAGGGGUGGUCCCGCGGUUGUGCUGCGGGGGGAUCAAGAAGCUGGUGUCCACGGCGCGCUCCACCCCCGACCGCCGCACCAUCUGCACCUGCCUCAAGAACAUCGGCGCCGGAGCCGCUGGCGGGCCUUACGCCAGCCGCGCCGCGGGGCUGCCGCGCAAGUGCAAAGUCCCGAUGCCCUGGAACUGCAACUCG